CCAAUCGAACUCGGAGAUAGCUGGUUCUCCCCGAAAUAGCUUUAGGGCUAGCCUCGAUUUAGAUUACCGGGGGUAGAGCACUGAAUGGGCUAGGGGGCCACAAAGCUUACCGAACCCUAUCAAACUUCGAAUACCGGAUAAUUGAUGAUCGGGAGUCAGACAGUGUGAGAUAAGUUUCAUUGUCGAAAGGGAAACAGCCCAGAUCUACGACUAAGGUCCCAAAGUUCAAGUUAAGUGGAAAAGGAUGUGCAAUUGCGUAGACAACCAGGAUGUUGGCUUAGUAGCAGCCAUUCAUUCAAAGAGUGCGUAAUAGCUCACUGGUCGAGUGAUUGUGCGCCGAAAAUGUAACGGGGCUAAACUUGACACCGAAGUCUAGGCAGAAGGAAACUUCUGGGUAGGGGAGCAACGUGUACGGGCAGAAGCAGAAGCGGAAGCGACUGUGGACUGUACAGGAGAGAGAAUGCCGGCAUGAGUAGCGAGAGCAAAGUGAGAAUCUUUGCCGUCGAAAGCCUAAGGUUUCCUGAGGAAGGCUCGUCCUCUCAGGGUAAGUCGGGACCUAAGCCGAGGACAAUAGUCGUAGGCGAUGGACAAUCGGUUAAUAUUCCGAUACCGCCGAGCAACCGGAUGCAGUGACACAGAAGGAUAGGCAGAGCGUGGCGAUGGUAGACCACGUCCAAGCAGUGAGGCUGUUGUGUAGUGAAGUACGCACAACGGAAGGCUGGGCUGUGAUGGGGAACGAUUACGAUCGGUAAGCUGCUGAAUUCACGCUGGCGAGAAAAGCUGCUACGAAGCGAAGGCGCCCGUACCGCAAACCGACACAGGUAGGCGAGGAGAGAAUCCUAAGACGAACGGGAGAACCCUUGUUAAGGAACUCGGCAAAAUGACCCCGUAACUUCGGGAGAAGGGGUGCCGAUGGAAACAUCGGUCGCAGAGAAAAGGCUCAAGCGACUGUUUAGCAAAAACACAGGUAUCUGCGAAAGCGAGAGCUGACGUAUAGGUGCUGACGCCUGCCCGGUGCUGGAAGGUUAAGGGGAAGUGUUAGGGGAAACCCGAAGCAGAGAACCGAAGCCCCAGUAAACGGCGGCCGUAACUAUAACGGUCCUAAGGUAGCGAAAUUCCUUGUCGGGUAAGUUCCGACCCGCACGAAUGGUGUAACGAUUUGGGUACUGUCUCAACAAGGGACCCGGCGAAAUUGUAGUAUGUGUGAAGAUGCACAUUACCCGCGAUAGGACGGAAAGACCCCGUAGAGCUUUACUGUAGUUUAACAUUGGAUUCCGGUAACAUAUGCACAGGAUAGGUGGGAGGCGGAGAAGCAGUGAUUUCGGUUGCUGCAGAGCCGACGUUGGGAUACCACUCUUGUGUUACUGGGGUUCUAACCUGUGGCCGUGAUCCGGCACAGGAACAGUGUUAGAUGGGCAGUUUGACUGGGGCGGUCGCCUCCAAAAGAGUAACGGAGGCGUCCAAAGGUUCCCUCAGAAUGGUUGGAAACCAUUCGAAGAGUACAAAGGCAGAAGGGAGCCUGACUGCGAGACCGACAGGUCGAGCAGGGACGAAAGUCGGGCUUAGUGAUCCGGCGGUAUAGAGUGGAAUUGCCGUCGCUCAACGGAUAAAAGCUACCUCGGGGAUAACAGGCUUAUCUCCCCCAAGAGUCCACAUCGACGGGGAGGUUUGGCACCUCGAUGUCGGCUCAUCGCAUCCUGGGGCUGUAUUCGGUCCCAAGGGUUUGGCUGUUCGCCAAUUAAAGCGGCACGCGAGCUGGGUUCAGAACGUCGUGAGACAGUUCGGUCCCUAUCCAUCGUGGGCGCAGGAGAUUUGAGAAGAGCUGUCCUCAGUACGAGAGGACCGGGAUGGACGCACCAAGGGUGUAUCAGUUGUCACGCCAGUGGCACAGCUGGGUAGCCAAGUGCGGAUCGGAUAAACGCUGAAGGCAUCUAAGCGUGAAGCCGACUUCAAGAUAAGAUCUCCCAUCCGCAAGGAGUAAGGCCCCAUGUAGACCACAUGGUUGAUAGGUCGCAGGUGGAAGUGCAGUAAUGUACGCAGCUGAGCGAUACUAAUAGGCCGAGGGCUUGAUCAA
RNAcentral lists this ribosomal RNA (2074 nucleotides) under human gut metagenome. RNAcentral describes it as "bacterial LSU rRNA". It matches the Rfam family "Bacterial large subunit ribosomal RNA", at positions 829 to 2925 of the family's 2925-position model. The record is from RNAcentral.